RNAcentral lists this ribosomal RNA (600 nucleotides) under uncultured bacterium. Its description in RNAcentral is "bacterial SSU rRNA". The stretch from base 1 to 501 matches the Rfam family "Bacterial small subunit ribosomal RNA", at positions 94 to 536 of the family's 1533-position model. The record is from RNAcentral.
AGCGGCGAACGGGUGAGUAACACGUAGGAAAUCUACUUGAGUGGGGAAUACCGUUCCGAAAGGAACGUUAAUACCGCAUAACAAUUUUGAUCGAUAGAUCAACAUUUAAAGGGGGCUUCGCAAGAGGCUCUCGUUUGAGGAUGAGCCUGCGUCCCAUUACUAGUUGGUAGGUAAUGGCCUACCAAGGCAACGAUGGGUAGCUGGUCUGAGAGGACGACCAGCCACACUGGAACUGACACACGGUCCAGACCGCCUACGGGAGGCAGCAGUGGGGAAUAUUGCGCAAUGGAGGAAAUCUGACGCACGAGCCGGUUGGGUGAUGAAGCCUUCGGUUGUAAACCCCUGGUUCGGGGUUUGGGGGGGAAACAAACGAAAUUAGUUCCGUUGGUCUUAAAUUUAACCCAACGGAUUCGGUUUCGGCUUUGGGUACCCCAGCCAAAAAGGGCAACACCACCCCGGGNUUAAAAUUACCUUGUGGCCAAGACACAACACAGCGGAUUACAUAUCCUCAGCACCAGGUUUCGCACAACGCNCUUCGUCCAUCGAACUAUACCUAGGGGCGCUUUCAANAGGGGACCCUUCAGCGCAGUCAUUCUCCAC